GGGCCCGCACAAGCGGUGGAGCAUGUGGUUCAAUUCGAAGCAACGCGAAGAACCUUACCAGCUUUUGACAUGUCCCGUAUGAGAAACAGAAAUGUAUCUCUUCACUUCGGGUGGCGGGAACACAGGUGCUGCAUGGCUGUCGUCAGCUCGUGUCGUGAGAUGUUGGGUUAAGUCCCGCAACGAGCGCAACCCUCGCCCUUAGUUGCCAUCAUUCAGUUGGGCACUCUAAGGGGACUGCCGGUGAUAAGCCGCGAGGAAGGUGGGGAUGACGUCAAGUCCUCAUGGCCCUUACAGGCUGGGCUACACACGUGCUACAAUGGCGGUGACAAUGGGAUGCGAUGGCGCGAGCCUGAGCAAAUCUCAAAAAGCCGUCUCAGUUCGGAUUGCACUCUGCAACUCGAGUGCAUGAAGUUGGAAUCGCUAGUAAUCGCGGAUCAGCACGCCGCGGUGAAUACGUUCCCGGGCCUU
RNAcentral lists this ribosomal RNA (468 nucleotides) under uncultured bacterium. RNAcentral describes it as "bacterial SSU rRNA". It matches the Rfam family "Bacterial small subunit ribosomal RNA", at positions 917 to 1382 of the family's 1533-position model. The record is from RNAcentral.